GUACACGCUGUGACUAGCAUAUCAAUAAGCGGAGGAAAAGAAACUAACAAGGAUUCCCCUAGUAACGGCGAGUGAAGCGGGAAGAGCUCAAAUUUGAAAUCUUAAAGGGUUUCCCUUUACGAAUUGUAGUUUAAAGAAGUGUUUUCUGUUGAGGUUUUGGUAAAAGUUCUUUGGAAUAGGACAUCAUAGAGGGUGAGAAUCCCGUAUUUGACCUUUACUUUCAACUUUGUGAUACACUUUCAAAGAGUCGGAUUGUUUGGGAAUGCAGUCCAAAAUGGGUGGUAAAUUUCAUCUAAAGCUAAAUAUUGGCGAGAGACCGAUAGCGAACAAGUACCGUGAGGGAAAGAUGAAAAGAACUUUGAAAAGAGAGUUAAACAGUACGUGAAAUUGUCAAAAGGGAAGCGUUUGACACCAGUGCUGUUUUUCUGAAAAUCAAUUAAAGAACUGUUUAUGCUAAGCUGUUUAGACUUUAUCAGCUAUCUGUUUAGUUUUGAGCUUUUCUUUAAUGCACUUUUCAGUUAACAAGUCAACAUCAAUUUCUUUUGCUGUAAAAAAGCUUGAGGAAGGUGGCUUGAGAUUCGUCUUAAGUGUUUAUAGCCUCUUGCCUAUGCAGUCGGAGAGAUUGAGGUCUGCAGCGUAGAUCCUUCGGGGCUGAAUGCAUUUGUGCUAAGUUAUAGCAUUUUAUAGACAACUUGUUGACUAUGAUUUGUCUUGUAGCUUACUCGCUUAUGUUAUUUUACCUACGCUUAGGAUGUUGAUAUGCAUGACUGAUAU
This 774-nucleotide ribosomal RNA is filed under the name uncultured Neocallimastigales. RNAcentral describes it as "partial large subunit ribosomal RNA". It matches the Rfam family "Eukaryotic large subunit ribosomal RNA", at positions 22 to 640 of the family's 3401-position model. The record is from RNAcentral. Lineage: Eukaryota; Fungi; Neocallimastigomycota; Neocallimastigomycetes; Neocallimastigales.